UACACAUAAAAACACUAGAGAAGGAUGCGUGAAACAUCACAAUACUACAAUAAAAAUGAUUAAAUUAAUCUGUGAAGUAAUGUGGUACUUUUGGUUUGCUUACAUGCGAAAAAUUCAUUAUAACAACAACAAAACUGGAAGUGAACUAAGAAAAACAUGGUUUCGGACAAAUGUAGUUGAGGUUUAGCUCAAGAAAUGUAUUUGCGUUGGUAAUAUUGCAAUCAUACAACAAAUAUGUAUCACAUUACCAUAGAGACUAUGAUUGCAUUAUAAGUUCUAAUAUUUAUACCAAAGCAUUAUUGAAGACAUAUAUCAAAGAAAUAUUUGUUAUAUAUUACAAAAUAUUAGUCAACAUGAAAUAAAAAAGUUUACUAUAAAUAUUUGUUAUAUCUAUAUACUUAUACUAAUUAGAGACUCUCAAAGAAUUACCACGUUAAUCAGAAAAUAUGAGCCGUUCAUCUGGUAGGACCGAGUUAUUACGGUGUAGAUUAACCGAGGUUAAGAAAAAAUAUGGGUCGUUCUUUGUUUCCAGAGAAAAAAAUAUCAGGUGGGACCUAUGGGACAACAAAUCCAAUAACCUCACGGUAGGAUAGAUGGACGUCAUUUUUAUAAAUAAAAUGAACAUGGCCUAAAAUGCUACAGUACCAUGGAACAACAUUUUUUUUCUUUGGGAGGCCCCACACGGUUGUAAGAAUAGAUAGACCACAUGUUGCAACCAAUUCAAAAAUACUUUCCUGGUAUGACUAAUCUUUCUCUCUCUUACGUGAAAAGAAAAAGACAGAAAAUAUCUGUGGGUAUUCAAGCAUAGUCGUCAUUAGUCCUGGUCUCUCACGCAAGAAAAAGAGGAAACAAUGAACACGUUCUAUGCGAGAGUACUACCAAAGGAAACCGAAAAAAAAUCAUGUUGGUGUCAAUGCGGAGGAAGCUGGCCGGCGAGAACCAAGACUGGCGGUUGUUCGUGGGAAGGCUACCAGGGUGGAGGCACAGGCAGCCCGUGGACCGUGCAUGCACUUGCUGGUGGAUGGCCGCCAUGGAGAGGAUGCAUGUGCCGGCAAGGCGGCGGCGUGAGUUCAGAUGUAGUCAGGUAGGUAUUGCUUGCAUGCAGUUGUAUAUUCUAAUCUUUUUAACUAUUUGAAAAUUGAACCAUUACAUAAGUUCAUGGAUGAGCUUUCGCUUAGCACAGGUUGCUGGCGUCGAUGCAUCGGCGGUUGACCGAAAAAGAUCUGCAGCUGUACAUACAUAGGUAAUAUAUGUAUGCAAGCAGUUAUAUACGCUUGAGUGAUAGAUGGAUGGUCAAAAGGAAAGUAUAGGGCGAUGCACACGAUUUCGUAGGUGUGGCUGUAGUUGUUUAAGCCAUACAAAUUCUCAUUGAUAGCUCUUAACUAUUACAACAUCCAUACAAAUUUUCAUUUCAAAAUUCCCUACCAAAAGGAGUUCAGCAUCCAAAAGCAAUGUCAUACAAAGCCUAUGACAUAGAAUGCACAGGCAGGACCGUUGAUAGUGGAUGCACCGUUGAUAGUGGAUGCAGGAUGAAUUCUAUUUUUAUAAUCAUAAUAAUAUUUUUAAAUGGGUCCUUCUUUAUCUCUAUAAUAGGUACACAAACAUAAUUAGUAAAGAAAC
Molecule: long non-coding RNA, 1620 nt
Filed under: Hordeum vulgare
Lineage: Eukaryota; Viridiplantae; Streptophyta; Magnoliopsida; Poales; Poaceae
Description: long non-coding RNA (HVUL_LNC017771)
Source: RNAcentral